AGAGUUUGAUCCUGGCUCAGAAUCAACGCUGGCGGCGCGCCUAACACAUGCAAGUCGAACGAGAAAGUGGAGCAAUCCAUGAGUAAAGUGGCGUACGGGUGAGUAACACGUGGAUCAUCUGCCUUUUAGUGGGGAAUACCGCUGGGAAACCGGCGACAAUACCGCAUAAGCUCGAGAGAGGAAAGCCGAAAGGCGCUGAAAGAGGAGUCCGCGGUCGAUUAGCUAGUUGGUAGGGUAAUGGCCUACCAAGGCUGUGAUCGAUAGCCGGCCUGAGAGGGCACACGGCCACACUGGCACUGAAGCACGGGCCAGACUCCUACGGGAGGCAGCAGUGGGGAAUCUUGCACAAUGGGGGAAACCCUGAUGCAGCGACGCCGCGUGAGCGAUGAAGCCCUUCGGGGUGUAAAGCUCUUUCGGCAGGGAAGAUUAUGACGGUACCUGCAGAAGCAGCUGCGGCUAACUACGUGCCAGCAGCCGCGGUAAUACGUAGGCAGCAAGCGUUGUUCGGAGUUACUGGGCGUAAAGGGUGCGUAGGCGGCUCGAUAAGUAUGGUGUGAAAUUUCCCGGCUUAACUGGGAGGGUGCGCUAUAGACUGCCGGGCUAGAGUGUGGGAGAGGAAAGUGGAAUUCCUGGUGUAGCGGUGAAAUGCGUAGAUAUCAGGAGGAACACCGGUGGUGUAAACGGCUUUCUGGACCAUAACUGACGCUGAGGCACGAAAGCGUGGGUAGCAAACAGGAUUAGAUACCCUGGUAGUCCACGCCCUAAACGAUGCAUAUUUGGUGUG
This 784-nucleotide ribosomal RNA is filed under the name uncultured soil bacterium. RNAcentral describes it as "bacterial SSU rRNA". It matches the Rfam family "Bacterial small subunit ribosomal RNA", at positions 8 to 824 of the family's 1533-position model. The record is from RNAcentral.